CCUCUGCCUGUCCCGGGGGAGGCUGGAUCCUGGGCUGUGUCCCGGCGCCCUGGGCUCCGGAGCCUGCGCUGUUGGAUUCGCGCUCCCGGGCCGCAGCCCCCUCCGCGGAGCCGCCCCCGA
Molecule: microRNA precursor, 120 nt
Filed under: Canis lupus familiaris (dog)
Lineage: Eukaryota; Metazoa; Chordata; Mammalia; Carnivora; Canidae
Description: miRNA (ENSCAFG00845002589.1)
Rfam family: mir-8799 microRNA precursor family (bases 14-102)
Source: RNAcentral